This 403-nucleotide ribosomal RNA is filed under the name uncultured bacterium. RNAcentral's name for it is "bacterial SSU rRNA". It matches the Rfam family "Bacterial small subunit ribosomal RNA", at positions 356 to 773 of the family's 1533-position model. The record is from RNAcentral.
GGGGGAUAUUGCAAAAUGGAGGAAACUCUGAUGCAGCAACGCCGCGUGAGGGAAGAAGGUCUUCGGAUUGUAAACCUUUGUCCUUGGUGACGAAACAAAUGACGGUAGCCAAGGAGGAAGCUCCGGCUAACUACGUGCCAGCAGCCGCGGUAAUACGUAGGGAGCAAGCGUUGUCCGGAUUUACUGGGUGUAAAGGGUGCGUAGGCGGCUCUGCAAGUCAGGCGUGAAAACUAUGGGCUUAACCCAUAGACUGCGUUUGAAACUGUGGGGCUUGAGUGAAGUAAAGGUAGGCGGAAUUCCCGGUGUAGCGGUGAAAUGCGUAGAGAUCGGGAGGAACACCAGUGGCGAAGGCGGCCUACUGGGCUUUAACUGACGCUGAGGCAUGAAAGCGUGGGGAGCAAAC